Molecule: ribosomal RNA, 485 nt
Filed under: uncultured bacterium
Lineage: Bacteria
Description: partial 16S ribosomal RNA
Source: RNAcentral
GUAGUUAGCCGUGGCUUAUUCUAGGGGUACCGUCUUCUACUCUUCCCCCUUAAAAGAAGUUUACAACCCGAAAGCCUUCUUCCCUCACGCGGCGUUGCUGGGUCAGGCUUGCGCCCAUUGCCCAAUAUUCCCCACUGCUGCCUCCCGCAGGAGUCUGGACCGUAUCUCAGUUCCAGUGUGGCCGAUCAGCCUCUCAGCUCGGCUACCCAUCGUCGACUUGGUGGGCCGUUACCCCGCCAACUAUCUAAUGGGACGCGAACCCCUCUUAUACCGGAUUGCUCCUUUGACCUCAUCCCGAUGUCGGGUCGUGGUCUUAUGCGGUAUUAGCAACCGUUUCCGGUUGUUAUCCCCCUGUAUAAGGCAGGUUGUUCACGCGUUACUCACCCGUUCGCCACUAAGUUAUCAACCGAAAUCAAUAACUCCGUUCGACUUGCAUGUGUUAGGCACGCCGCCAGCGUUCGUCCUGAGCCAGAAUCAAACUCUGA